AAAUAGCACCUGUGGAACUUUCUCAAGAGGAACAAUCAUGUGAAGGUUCAAAUUCAGCUGUUAGCAUGGAACUUUCAGAACCUGUUGUAGAAAAUGGGGAGACAGAAAUGUCCCCAGAAGAAUCAUGGGAGCACAAAGAAGAAACCAGUGAAGCAGAGCCAGGGGGGCUCCUUGGGAGGUGGAAGGCCCCAGAGGAAAGUGCCCAGGAGAUGAUGGAGGAGGAAGAGGAGAUAUCAAAACCCAAAUCUGUGGUUGCUCCGCCAGGUGCUCCUAAGAAGGAACAUGUACAUGUAGUAUU
Manis javanica (Malayan pangolin) is the source of this 298-nucleotide non-coding RNA. NCBI's taxonomy places the organism in Eukaryota, Metazoa, Chordata, Mammalia, Pholidota, Manidae. The record is from RefSeq and is a predicted model, not a curated record.